RNAcentral lists this ribosomal RNA (1050 nucleotides) under uncultured bacterium. RNAcentral describes it as "bacterial SSU rRNA". It matches the Rfam family "Bacterial small subunit ribosomal RNA", at positions 8 to 1064 of the family's 1533-position model. The record is from RNAcentral.
AGAGUUUGAUCCUGGCUCAGGGUGAACGCUGGCGGCGCGCUUAAUGCAUGCAAGUCGAGCGUGAUCGUGGCUUCGGCCACAAUGAUAAAGCGGCAGACGGCUGAGUAACGCGUGAGUAAUCUGCCCUCCGGUGGGGUAUAACCUCGGGAAACUGAGGAUAAUCCCGCAUACGACCUGCAUCCCUUGGGGUGCAGAUGAAAGGCUUCGGUCGCCGGAGGAGGAGCUCGCGUCCUAUCAGGUUGUUGGUGGGGUAAUGGCCUACCAAGCCGAUGACGGGUAGCUGGUCUGAGAGGAUGACCAGCCAGAGGGGGACUGAGAACGGCCCCCACUCCUACGGGAGGCAGCAGCAGGGAAUCUUGGGCAAUGGGCGAAAGCCUGACCCAGCGACGUCGCGUGGGGGACGAAGGCCUUAGGGUUGUAAACCCCUUUUCCGAGGGAAGAUACAGGACGGUACCUCGGGAAUAAGCCCCGGCUAACUACGUGCCAGCAGCCGCGGUAAUACGUAGGGGGCAAGCGUUACCCGGAAUCACUGGGCGUAAAGUGCGCGUAGGCGGUUGGAUAAGUCUCUUGUGAAAGCUCCCGGCUCAACUGGGAGAGGUCAAGGGAUACUAUUCGACUUGAGGACAGCAGAGGUAAGCAGAAUUCCCGGUGUAGCGGUGGAAUGCGUAGAUAUCGGGAGGAACACCAGUGGCGAAAGCGGCUUACUGGGCUGUAGCUGACGCUGAGGCGCGAGAGCGUGGGGAGCAAACUGGAUUAGAUACCCAGGUAGUCCACGCCCUAAACGAUGGAUACUAGGUAUGGGGGGUAUUGACCCCCUCCGUGCCGUAGCUAACGCGUUAAGUAUCCCGCCUGGGGACUACGGCCGCAAGGCUAAAACUCAAAGGAAUUGACGGGGGCCCGCACAAGCGGUGGAGCGUGUGGUUUAAUUCGAUGCUAAGCGAAGAACCUUACCUGGGCUUGACAUGUUGGUAGUAGGAAUCUGAAAGGAUGACGACCUCGGGGUAACUCGAGGAGCCAUCACAGGUGCUGCAUGGCUGUCGUCAGCUCGUG